Long non-coding RNA from Solanum tuberosum (potato), 507 nucleotides. RefSeq lists it as uncharacterized. The transcript has 3 exons. The record is from RefSeq and is a predicted model, not a curated record. Lineage: Eukaryota; Viridiplantae; Streptophyta; Magnoliopsida; Solanales; Solanaceae.
UUUUGACAUUUUAUUCUAUUUUUUCUAUCUAAUUUAAUGUAAAAUGUCUAAAAAUUAAAUAGUGGACUGUUACCUAUAAACUGAAAAGACUCAUAAAUUAUGCCAUUUAACAACUAGAAAGCCCAAAAGUCAUCAUUUGAAAUAUAAGAAGGAAUCGCACUGUUGGCUCAUCCAAUGCAUUAUGUCAAUUUUUGUGAUGCUCUGGAGUUGCACCAUGGUCGACAGCCAAUAACAGGUUUACAUGUCUCUUUGUGCUGUUCUGAAGUUCCACCAUGGUUGACACUUGACAGCCUUAGAAAAAGAUGAUAAGACUUCUUCAAGUGAAGAAUGAAGACAAAAGUUAUAACUAGCUAAAAAAUUGGAAAUGAUGUCAAUAACGGGUGAAUAGGUAAUCUAGAAUACGUUUUUGAUGCCCGUGGAAGACUUUAUGUAUUUGUAAUUUCUUUGGACAAAAACAUUGUUACUUCAAUGUAAUUAAUUCUAUUUAUCCUAUUUUUAAUUAUUGUU